CGCUGGCGGCGUGCUUAACACAUGCAAGUCGAGCGGUAAGGCCUUUCGGGGUACACGAGCGGCGAACGGGUGAGUAACACGUGGGUGAUCUGCCCUGCACUCUGGGAUAAGCUUGGGAAACUGGGUCUAAUACCGGAUAUGACCRYAUKSCGCAUGKUSUGUGGUGGAAAGAUUUAUCGGUGCAGGAUGGGCCCGCGGCCUAUCAGCUUGUUGGUGGGGUAAUGGCCUACCAAGGCGACGACGGGUAGCCGACCUGAGAGGGUGACCGGCCACACUGGGACUGAGACACGGCCCAGACUCCUACGGGAGGCAGCAGUGGGGAAUAUUGCACAAUGGGCGGAAGCCUGAUGCAGCGACGCCGCGUGAGGGAUGAAGGCCUUCGGGUUGUAAACCUCUUUCAGCAGGGACGAAGCGUGAGUGACGGUACCUGCAG
Molecule: ribosomal RNA, 433 nt
Filed under: actinobacterium BAL77
Lineage: Bacteria; Bacillati; Actinomycetota; Actinomycetes
Description: bacterial SSU rRNA
Rfam family: Bacterial small subunit ribosomal RNA
Source: RNAcentral